AGAGUUUGAUCCUGGCUCAGGACGAACGCUGGCGGCGNUAACACAUGCAAGUGGAGCGACGAACCAUCUUCGGAUGGGGCAGAGNNNCGAACGGGUGAGUAACACGUGGGUCACCUACCUCGAUGACCGGGACAACCCGAGGGAACUCGGGCUAAUACCGGAUGUGGUCUUAGGACGAAAGGAAGCUUCGGCCUCCGCAUCGAGAUGGGCCCGCGGCGCAUUAGCUUGUUGGUGGGGUAACGGCCUACCAAGGCGACGAUGCGUAGCUGGUCUGAGAGGACGAUCAGCCACACUGGGACUGAGACACGGCCCAGACUCCUACGGGAGGCAGCAGUGGGGAAUCUUGCGCAAUGCGCGAAAGCGUGACGCAGCAACGCCGCGUGGGGGAAGACGGCUUUCGGGUUGUAAACCUCCUUCAGUUGGGACGAAGGGCAGUCGGUGAAUAGCCGGUUUGUCUGACGGUACCUUCAGAAGAAGCCCCGGCUAACUACGUGCCAGCAGCCGCGGUAAUACGUAGGGGGCAAGCGUUGUCCGGAAUCAUUGGGCGUAAAGCGCGUGUAGGCGGCCUUGUUAGUCCGUUCUGAAAGUCCGGGGCUCAACCCCGGGAGGCGGAUGGAUACUGCAAGGCUCGAGUCCGGAAGAGGCGAGUGGAAUUCCUGGUGUAGCGGUGAAAUGCGCAGAUAUCAGGAGGAACACCAAUGGCGAAGGCAGCUCGCUGGGACGGUACUGACGCUGAGCGCGAAAGCGUGGGGAGCAAACAGGAUUAGAUACCCUAGUAGUCC
This 782-nucleotide ribosomal RNA is filed under the name uncultured bacterium. RNAcentral's name for it is "bacterial SSU rRNA". It matches the Rfam family "Bacterial small subunit ribosomal RNA", at positions 8 to 796 of the family's 1533-position model. The record is from RNAcentral.